Molecule: ribosomal RNA, 301 nt
Filed under: uncultured bacterium
Lineage: Bacteria
Description: partial 16S ribosomal RNA
Rfam family: Bacterial small subunit ribosomal RNA
Source: RNAcentral
CAGUCGCCGCGGUAAUACGUAGGUGGCAAGCGUUGUCCGGAAUUAUUGGGCGUAAAGGGCUCGCAGGCGGUUUCUUAAGUCUGAUGUGAAAGCCCCCGGCUCAACCGGGGAGGGUCAUUGGAAACUGGGAAACUUGAGUGCAGAAGAGGAGAGUGGAAUUCCACGUGUAGCGGUGAAAUGCGUAGAGAUGUGGAGGAACACCAGUGGCGAAGGCGACUCUCUGGUCUGUAACUGACGCUGAGGAGCGAAAGCGUGGGGAGCGAACAGGAUUAGAUACCCCAGUAGUCCCUGUCUCUAUACA